UCCAAAAUAAUUGUUUUUUUUGUUUAUCUCUGUGGAAGAUAUCUAAUUUUUGGUUCCAACUUCUAACAAGACUUGUCAGCCAAUAGUAAAACAACGUUGGU
Molecule: long non-coding RNA, 101 nt
Organism: Sebastes umbrosus (honeycomb rockfish)
Lineage: Eukaryota; Metazoa; Chordata; Actinopteri; Perciformes; Sebastidae
Exons: 3
Source: RefSeq, a predicted model, not a curated record